Molecule: ribosomal RNA, 338 nt
Filed under: uncultured Sphingobacteriales bacterium
Lineage: Bacteria; Pseudomonadati; Bacteroidota; Sphingobacteriia; Sphingobacteriales
Description: bacterial SSU rRNA
Rfam family: Bacterial small subunit ribosomal RNA
Source: RNAcentral
AUUGGUUGUCGUCAGCUCGUGCCGUGAGGUGUCGGUUAAGUCCCAUAACGAGCGCAACCCUUAUCGUUAGUUGCCAUCUGGUAAUGCAGGGGACUCUAGCGAAACUGCCACCGUAAGGUGAGAGGAAGUGGGAUGACGUCAAAUCAGCACGGCCCUUAUGUCCAGGGCUACACACGUGUUACAAUGGUCGGUACAGAGGGCAGCUACCUGGUGACAGGAUGCUAAUCUCGAAAACCGGUCUCAGUUCGGAUCGAAGUCUGCAACUCGACUUCGUGAAGCUGGAUUCGCUAGUAAUCGCGCAUCAGCUAUGGCCGCGGUCGAAUACGUUCCCGGGCCUU